CCAAUAGCGUAUAUUAAAGUUGUUGCAGUUAAAAAGCUCGUAGUUGAAUUUCAGGCCUGGCUGGACGGUCCGCCCUUCGGGUGAGUACUGUCUGUGGUCGGGUCCUACCUUCUGGCGAAGCGUCAUGGCCUUAACCGGCCGUGGCGGGGAACCAGGACUUUUACUGUGAAAAAAUUAGAGUGUUCAAAGCAGGCAAUCGCUUGGAUACAUUAGCAUGGAAUAAUGGAAUAGGACAAUGGUUCUAUUUGUUGGUUUCUAGGACCGUUGUAAUGAUUAAUAGGGAUAGUUGGGGGCAUUAGUAUUCAAUUGUCAGAGGUGAAAUUCUUGGAUUUAUUGAAGACUAACUACUGCGAAAGCAUUUGCCAAGGAUGUUUUCAUUAAUCAAGAACGAAUGUUAGGGGAUCGAAGACGAUCAGAUACCGUCGUAGUCUUAACCAUAAACUAUGCCGACUAGGAAUCGGGCGAUGUUGACAAAAUGACGCGCUCGGCACCUCAUG
This 497-nucleotide ribosomal RNA is filed under the name uncultured Glomeromycotina. Its description in RNAcentral is "partial small subunit ribosomal RNA". It matches the Rfam family "Eukaryotic small subunit ribosomal RNA", at positions 591 to 1092 of the family's 1831-position model. The record is from RNAcentral. Lineage: Eukaryota; Fungi; Glomeromycota.